UCUCUGGAGGACUAGUGGUUAGGCCACAGCGCUCUCACCACUGUAGCCCAGGUUUGAUUCCCGGCCAAGGAA
This 72-nucleotide transfer RNA is filed under the name Pangasianodon gigas (Mekong giant catfish). Its description in RNAcentral is "tRNA-Glu". It matches the Rfam family "tRNA". Rfam says of the family: Transfer RNA (tRNA) molecules are approximately 80 nucleotides in length. Lineage: Eukaryota; Metazoa; Chordata; Actinopteri; Siluriformes; Pangasiidae. The record is from RNAcentral.